Non-coding RNA from Harpegnathos saltator (Jerdon's jumping ant), 79 nucleotides. NCBI's taxonomy places the organism in Eukaryota, Metazoa, Arthropoda, Insecta, Hymenoptera, Formicidae. The record is from Rfam.
CGUCAGGUAGCUCAGUGGUUUUAAAGCAAUCGCCCGGCAAGUGAAAGAGGACCCCCGGGUUCGAUUCCCGGUCUAGCGA